RNAcentral lists this small nucleolar RNA (89 nucleotides) under Caenorhabditis remanei. Its description in RNAcentral is "Caenorhabditis snoRNA ceN28". It matches the Rfam family "Caenorhabditis snoRNA ceN28". The record is from Rfam by way of RNAcentral. Lineage: Eukaryota; Metazoa; Nematoda; Chromadorea; Rhabditida; Rhabditidae.
CACGUCUGGUGAGGAGAGAAAAAGGACAGGUUUCGCUAAAAUAAUAGCUGAACGAUAAUAUGUCGAGACACCUUGGCUGUCUGAGGACG